This 28-nucleotide non-coding RNA is filed under the name Homo sapiens (human). The record is from RNAcentral. Lineage: Eukaryota; Metazoa; Chordata; Mammalia; Primates; Hominidae.
UCACCAGACCCUGUUGGACAGUGCUUGC